AGAGCACACAGGUGCUUCAUCUGACCUGGUAACCCUGACUCUGCCCACACAAGCUAGGGCUGCCUCAGCUGGUGGGAGCACAGUGUCCUCUCCACCUCAACACCAGUCAGAGGCACAUGCUGUGAGCUUUGGGGUGCACUGCUCUGAUGGAGGAAGCGAAUGACCCCAUGUCUCACCUCCUGCAAGUGGUGUGAGUGGGAGUGAGAGUUCAGAAAUUUAAUAGCCAAUACAGAUAUCAUAAAAGCCUGACUGUUGUUUGUGGUCAACGGUGCAGUUUUCUUUGAGCAGUGAGGAAGAGAAAUGUGUCUGUGUGUGAUGGAGAGUGGCAAUCAGUACUAAGAUGUGCACCCAGUUUGUUGGGAAAAGUAAUGGGAUAUAAAGGAAAGCAGGAGCAGAGUGAAGGAAGCACAGAAGAGCUGAUGGGAAGCCCCUGAGACUCAGAGGCAAUCUCUGUUCUCCCUUGCCAGCAUGCUGCAGUGUGAUGGAUAAGCGUCUAAAACAUGGGAAAACCUGAAGCAAGGAAGCACUCCUAUCCCUGAUGAAGAUGCAUCAUCACUGGGCUUGGUUCAAAAACCAUUAAAGCUUCUGAGUGGUUCCAGUGGGAAUGAGAACAACCCUUUUUCUGAAGAAAUAGAGGAGGGCUGUCGAUCAUCGUUCUGAAAAACCCUGCAAGUGAUGGACUGUGUCACUGUGAGCUGUGGAAUUGUCACUCCUUCCUCUUGGUUGGGGAGGCAUUGCAGAGUGGUGAUAAGCUGGGGUCAGAGCUGGUGGAGAUUGGAAACUAAAAAAGGACAUAAAUCUGGGAUGGGAUAGAAGUGGGGAAGGUGGAUCCUUGAAUAGAGAGCUGUCCAUUGACACAUCACUCAGUGGUCCCUCUUGCUGUUUUAAGCAGCACAAGCAAAAUCCUAUGGGCCACUCCAUAGCUGGGAAAGCUGCCGUUGAGAGCUGCCUGAAUAAGGGAUGAGCCUGGGCUGAUCUCCUCAGCAUAAUCCAGCCCUCCUGGAUGUGACUGAGGGAUGUGGAGGAGGCGAAAGACACUUGAAACAAGAUAGCUUAAAACCAUUUUGUAUCUAAUUUGCAGCAAAGUUUUCUUUCAUCAUUUCCCUCUCUUCCGCCCCAACCUCCCUAUUUGUCUUAUCAAAUCUUGGCAGAGAUAGCUGUGCGGAAUAGGGAGCUGCUGUUGGGAAGCAGUUUUUCCAGCGGGGUAAUAAAGCAGUCUUACUGC
Molecule: long non-coding RNA, 1225 nt
Filed under: Gallus gallus (chicken)
Lineage: Eukaryota; Metazoa; Chordata; Aves; Galliformes; Phasianidae
Description: lncRNA (ENSGALG00000050633.2)
Source: RNAcentral